Molecule: ribosomal RNA, 334 nt
Filed under: uncultured bacterium
Lineage: Bacteria
Description: bacterial SSU rRNA
Rfam family: Bacterial small subunit ribosomal RNA
Source: RNAcentral
GACGAACGCUGGCGGCGUGCCUAACACAUGCAAGUCGAGCGGUCUGAUGUUCAAUCUAUUGAACAAAAGGCAGCGGCGGACGGGUGAGUAACACGUGGGUAAUCUGCCCUACGGACCGGGAUAACACACCGAAAGGGGUGCUAAUACCGGAUAAAGUCAUCAUAUGGCAUCAUAAGAUGAAGAAAGGAGAAAUCCGCCAAAGGAGGAGCCCGCGUCCCUUUAGUUAGUUGGCGGGGUAAAAGCCCACCAAGGCGACGAUGGGUAGCCGGCCUGAGAGGGUGAACGGCCACACUGGAACUGAGACACGGUCCAGACUCCUACGGGAGGCAGCAUG